Molecule: long non-coding RNA, 493 nt
Filed under: Bos taurus (domestic cattle)
Lineage: Eukaryota; Metazoa; Chordata; Mammalia; Artiodactyla; Bovidae
Description: long non-coding RNA NONBTAT001538
Source: RNAcentral
AAAAUAGAACUAAUGAAUGUUCUGUGGGGUUUCGUUUUCUCUCCUAGCUGACUCUACAACAUCUAAGACUUACAGUACCACUUACUGUAACAGUUUAAGACUCACUGUUUCUAAUGACACAUCUGACACUAAGUUAUUUUAGACUUUUUUGGUCUUGAAACAGUUUUGCUUGGCAGAAGAAACCCCUGAAGCACGUGAUUUUGUGGGAUUCUUGUUCCUCUCAGGGCACCUUCGUUUGACUUUGGGGAUCCCCUGCCUCCCAUCCCCCACUCUUAAACUCAUGCAUGUGCUUCCCCAGACCCAAACCAGACUCUCUUCUUUACUUUUGCUUUGUUCUUUUGUUUAAAAGGUCAAGUUCAUGCAAUAUGGGUCAUUUUUAAAAUAUUUGAGAGGCAUCAAUGUCUUUAGGGAUUUGAGAAAUCAGGCAUUUCUAAAACUUCAUCAUCUGAAAAUAUCUUUAUAAUUUAUCUUAAAUUGAGAUGAAAUAGUAGUU